GGAUAUGUGGGCAGAUCAAGGGGAACUGCUUAAAAUGCACGAGACUACAUCUCCAAUGAUCAGAUACGAGCUUAGCAGGAUCUCUGCAGCACUAUUAAUUGCAAUGGGCACCAGAAAAUUGCAUUGCCGCUCAGAGGCAAGAACAGGGCUUCUCCAGGCAUGGUUUCACCCAAUGCUAUCAGAUUUUGGUUGGUUGUAGAGAUGCAAAAAGGGGUUGGACA
This 221-nucleotide unclassified non-coding RNA is filed under the name Hevea brasiliensis (rubber tree). Lineage: Eukaryota; Viridiplantae; Streptophyta; Magnoliopsida; Malpighiales; Euphorbiaceae. The record is from RNAcentral.